RNAcentral lists this ribosomal RNA (424 nucleotides) under uncultured prokaryote. Its description in RNAcentral is "bacterial SSU rRNA". It matches the Rfam family "Bacterial small subunit ribosomal RNA", at positions 355 to 796 of the family's 1533-position model. The record is from RNAcentral.
UGGGGAAUCUUGGACAAUGGGGGCAACCCUGAUCCAGCGACGCCGCGUGGACGACGAAGGCCUUCGGGUUGUAAAGUCCUUUUCUCGGGGAAGAUGAUGACGGUACCCGAGGAAUAAGCACCGCCUAACUCCGUGCCAGCAGCCGCGGUAAGACGGAGGGUGCUAGCGUUGUUCGGAAUUACUGGGCGUAAAGGGCGCGUAGGCGGCCGUUCAAGUUGGGUGUGAAAGCCCGGGGCUCAACCUCGGAAUUGCACUCGAAACUGGACGGCUUGAGACCGAGAGAGGAGAGUGGAAUACCCAGUGUAGAGGUGAAAUUCGUAGAUAUUGGGUGGAACACCGGUGGCGAAAGCGGCUCUCUGGCUCGGAUCUGACGCUGAGGCGCGAAAGCGUGGGGAGCAAACAGGAUUAGAUACCCCUGUAGUCC